This 73-nucleotide transfer RNA is filed under the name Russula griseocarnosa. Its description in RNAcentral is "tRNA-His". It matches the Rfam family "tRNA". Rfam says of the family: Transfer RNA (tRNA) molecules are approximately 80 nucleotides in length. Their secondary structure includes four short double-helical elements and three loops (D, anti-codon, and T loops). Lineage: Eukaryota; Fungi; Basidiomycota; Agaricomycetes; Russulales; Russulaceae. The record is from RNAcentral.
GGUAGAAUUAAUUUAAUUGGUAAAAUAACGUCUUGUGGCGACGCUGUUCAGAGUUCAAAUCUCUGAUUUUACC